This 587-nucleotide long non-coding RNA is filed under the name Homo sapiens (human). RNAcentral's name for it is "non-protein coding lnc-HES6-2:3". Lineage: Eukaryota; Metazoa; Chordata; Mammalia; Primates; Hominidae. The record is from RNAcentral.
GACUGACGGCGCCGGCCGCCCCUGCCCGUCGCCCGCCCGCUGCUGCCGCCCGCCCGGGGUGUGGAGCCCGGCCGCUGCUCGCGGGCUGAGUGUCUGUCGCUGCUGCCGCCUCCACCCAGCCUCCGCCAUGGACCUCUUCGGGGACCUGCCGGAGCCCGAGCGCUCGCCGCGCCCGGCUGCCGGGAAAGAAGCUCAGAAAGGACCCCUGCUCUUUGAUGACCUCCCUCCGGCCAGCAGUACUGACUCAGGAUCAGGGGGACCUUUGCUUUUUGAUGAUCUCCCACCCGCUAGCAGUGGCGAUUCAGGUUCUCUUGCCACAUCAAUAUCCCAGAUGGUAAAGACUGAAGGGAAAGGAGCAAAGAGAAAAACCUCCGAGGAAGAGAAGAAUGGCAGUGAAGAGCUUGUGGAAAAGAAAGUUUGUAAAGGUUUUCAGACAAUUUGAAAACAAAUGUAUUAGACUUCAUAUUUUAAAACAACCCAGAGCAAAACCAGUUUCAGCUUUCUAAUAAUACUUUCUUUUUAUGUCUGUAUUUAAGAAAUAAGUAGGGUUCCCUUUUUGCAAAUGAAUUUCCAAGUUUCUCUGUGCU